Molecule: ribosomal RNA, 434 nt
Filed under: uncultured bacterium
Lineage: Bacteria
Description: partial 16S ribosomal RNA
Rfam family: Bacterial small subunit ribosomal RNA
Source: RNAcentral
AGCGAACGCUGGCGGCAGGCCUAACACAUGCAAGUCGAACGAACCUUUCGGGGUUAGUGGCGUACGGGUGAGUAACACGUGGGAACGUGCCUUUAGGUUCGGAAUAACUCAGGGAAACUUGUGCUAAUACCGAAUGUGCCCUUCGGGGGAAAGAUUAAUCGCCUUUAGAGCGGCCCGCGUCUGAUUAGCUAGUUGGUUGAGGUAAUGGCUCACCAAGGCGACGAUCAGUAGCUGGUCUGAGAGGAUGAUCAGCCACAUUGGGACUGAGACACGGCCCAAAAUCCUACGGGAGGCAGCAGUGGGGAAUCUUGCGCAAUGGGCGAAAGCAUGACGCAGCCAUGCCGCGUGAAUGAUGAAGGUCUUAGGAUUGUAAAAUUCUUUCAACGGGGACGAUAAUGACGGUACCCGGAGAAGAAGCCCCGGCUAACUUCGUG